CGGCCUCCGGCUGGGGCCACCCAGGCAACCGAUAUACACAGAGAACCACGUGGAGGAAAAGCACGCGAGUUUGGAGGGGGUGGAGCAGGAACAGAGGUGGACUGGAAUGUCACACGACGGGGCAGCUGGAAGGCCAAGUUCCCACCUGGUGGGAAGCACUGUGCAGGUUCGUGGGGAUGCAGCCCUGCACAGCCCAGACUGGACUCCUUCCCCAUGGAACUCACAACACACGGGAGAGGCAGAGAGAUCCAAGCGCACAGAAAAACACAAGAAGAUUCAGCCCUGUCAUCUUGUGCAAAAUCCCCAAUUCCAGUAAGACAGCUUAUGCCAACCAGUUUGAAGACCACCAGAGAAGAACAGAAUCAAUAUGAGAAUACAGUUUCUUCAUCUGCCUGUCUUAUGGCUUCAACCUGCACUCUUUGACCAAUCAACAAUCUCCACACUUUGGCACACUCCAAAACCCUUAAAGACACUAUCCCCAAACUCCUCAGAGAGUCGGAUUUGAGGUUUCCUCCUGUCUCCUUGUUUGGUGGCCCUACAAUUAAACCUCUU
Molecule: long non-coding RNA, 552 nt
Filed under: Pan troglodytes (chimpanzee)
Lineage: Eukaryota; Metazoa; Chordata; Mammalia; Primates; Hominidae
Description: long non-coding RNA NONPTRT002879
Source: RNAcentral